UUUUUGUGAACUAAAAAAAGUGAAUGUGGCUUAGGCUAAGCUGUUUUUUUUUUUUUUUUUUUAAAGAUGAGGAUGCGGACUCCAACAAAGGCAUUAAGAAAGUACUAGAUGAAAAUGAGAAAUAUGUGAAGGAUAACAUGUGAAAUGUACACUCAGGUCUAACAAAUACCUAUUAUUUCUCUGGUUAAGAAGGUUUAGCAGGAGCCUCCAAUGAGCACUGUAUGUAGAGAAAAGGGAAGGAGCAGGAGGAGGAACAGAUCUGCACAGAAUUUUUUUCUUAAAAACCACAAAGGGUGACUUUUUUCUUCUAAGCAAGCAAGCCUGAGAGGCAUUACAUGGGCUGGCUCCUAAUAUCAAAACAAAAUAUUUCUUUGCCACAAAGGAACUUGACUAUGUAGCAACACAUUUACAAAACUACUGCAAAACACUCCCAGAGGGCAGUGACCUACUCUGCUCCCCAGAGGCUCCAAGAAGCAAGGCCUCAAGUGCCUCAUGUUCCAUGGGGCUGUGCAGUGCAAUGCAGAAGGCGGAAAUCCUGCUGUGACGCCACCCUCGAGACCUUCUGCAGCCUGAGAGGGGGUGAUACUCCCACACCCUUUGAUCCUUCCAGAUGGCUCAGCCUAGAUCUAGCAGUGAGAGAGCCCUCUCCAUGCAGGGCAGAUGGAGUGGUGGACACUUGUGAAAACAAAACACUAACUGUUCCAUCCUGUUAUAUUUGCUGUGAGGAAAAUUAAGAUUCCUGUUGUAUGGGCUGCACUGUUUCUGGAAGACUACAGAAAAUCUAACAUGGUUGACACUUCCUGGUAGCCCUUCUGUACAUACACACACACACACCCAGAGAGAAGACAGAGAGAAAAUCCUGGUCCAAAAGAUCACAUGACCUUACUAGUGUUUCCCCAAUGACUGUAAUUUAUAAACUAAAAAUUUUUACAAAUCCACUGCUAUCUUCUUCUGUCCUGAGUUUGGUAGACUUUAAUGGAUGCUCCAGCAAUAACCAGAAUCUAGGACAUGCAGACUCACUGUGAGCGAGAGGCUAGGGAUCUGCCCUAAACAUAGGAACCUGUUUCUAUCAAGCCUGAAUGAGGUCAGCUCUGGUAGAAUUAAUGACAAAUCAAUGUCAGUGAAAUAUUCUGCAAACAGGGUAGCUUUUGUGCUUUCUUUUGAUUAUUUUCUUUGGGGAGAUAAAGGUAUUGCAACCAUGGGUCUAACUAAUCUAUCACUAAAGGACUGUGACGACAUUCUCAAUAAAGACAGUCAUGGUGUUUACUGUGCCAAGGAGGGAAAAUCCCAGAUCAUCAGAAUCCCAGUGCAACAGAAAACAGCACCAGUUUCAACAAUUCUGAUGUUGGACAAAGCCUCUUUUUGUCAGUUAAGAAAGCGUAAGCACAAUCUCUCAGUCAAUUGCAUUAACAGGAAUCCAUUCAUGUCACUGAAAAAUACUUCUUGGCACAGUUCACUUUCCUGACCCAAAGACACCAACAACAAUCAAAACUGCACUUUCAGGGUAGUAUAUUGUUACACUAGCCCAGUCAAAACAUACUCAGAACAUUUAAAAAUGUAUAAAUUACUGUUAGCACUGCAGUUCCGUUUUAUUUUCUUAUUUAUUUAUUAAGACAGAGUCUUACUCUGUUGCCCAGGCUGGAGUGCAGUGGCAUGAUCUUGGCUUACUGCAACCUCUGCCUCCCAGGUUUAAGCAAUUCUCAUGCUUCAGCCUACCAAGUAGCUGGGAUUACAGGAGUGCACCAUCAUGCCCAGCUAAUUUUUGUAUUUUAGUAGAGAUGGGGUUUUGCCAUGUUGGUCAGGCUGGUCUCAAACUCCUGGCCUCAAGUGACCCACCUGCCUUGGCCUCCCAAAGUGCUGGGAUUACAGGUGUGAGCCACUACACCCAGCCCUGCAGUCCCUUUUUAAAGAGUACUGACUGUUUUCCUGCAAAGUACUUUCAAAUCCAUACCAUAAAGGUAGAAUUUAUCUGGAAGAAUGUGUUUUUUGAAUUCCACCUGGCACUUGGUUAAAUCUACUUUAUUUUGCCCUUUAUUUAUUUGAACAGAACUUUAGAAUGCUCUAGGUCAGGAAAAGAAACAGUGUGUUCGUUUUUAAGAAGGAUGUGUGAAUAGUAAGUUGGCAUUCAGACUCAAGUCCCAUGGUAUUGUUCUUAUCCAAUGGGACCUCUCCUUGGGAAUAUAAUUCCUUUCCCAGAGGUAUCAUGGUAUCCCAAGAAUAUAACUGCUCUUUGGCUCUGUGUGUGAAGAUUGGGGGAGAGGAUGUAAACUAAGAGUAUA
This 2279-nucleotide long non-coding RNA is filed under the name Homo sapiens (human). RNAcentral describes it as "non-protein coding lnc-HMGA1-2:11". The record is from RNAcentral. Lineage: Eukaryota; Metazoa; Chordata; Mammalia; Primates; Hominidae.